UACGUAGGGGCAAGCGUUGUCCGGAAUCAUUGGGCGUAAAGAGCGUGUAGGCGGCCAGAUAAGUCCGCUGUGGAAAUCUCGAGGCUCAACUUCGAGCUGUCGGUGGAAACUGUCUGGCUAGAGUCCGGAAGAGGAGAAUGGAAUUCCUGGUGUAGCGGUGAAAUGCGCAGAUAUCAGGAAGAACACCCGUGGCGAAGGCGGUUCUCUGGGACGGUACUGACGCUGAGACGCGAAAGCGUGGGGAGCGAACAGG
Molecule: ribosomal RNA, 253 nt
Filed under: uncultured bacterium
Lineage: Bacteria
Description: partial 16S ribosomal RNA
Rfam family: Bacterial small subunit ribosomal RNA
Source: RNAcentral